AACGUAGGUGGCGAGCGUUAUCCGGAUUUACUGGGCGUAAAGCGUGUGCAGGCGGGCCUUCAAGUGGUGUAUGAAAUCGCUCGGCUAAACCGGGCGGGGUUAUGCCAGACUGAAGGUCUAGAGUGCGAGAGAGGGGCGUGGAAUUCCGGGUGUAGUGGUGAAAUGCGUAGAGAUCCGGAGGAACCCCAGAGGCGAAGGCGGCGCCCUGGCUCGCAACUGACGCUCAGACACGACAGCAUGGGGAGCGAACGGG
Molecule: ribosomal RNA, 253 nt
Filed under: uncultured prokaryote
Description: partial 16S ribosomal RNA
Rfam family: Bacterial small subunit ribosomal RNA
Source: RNAcentral